RNAcentral lists this ribosomal RNA (253 nucleotides) under uncultured bacterium. RNAcentral's name for it is "partial 16S ribosomal RNA". It matches the Rfam family "Bacterial small subunit ribosomal RNA", at positions 524 to 776 of the family's 1533-position model. The record is from RNAcentral.
UACGGGGGGGGCAAGCGUUGUUCGGAAUUACUGGGCGUAAAGGGCUCGUAGGCGGCCAACUAAGUCGGACGUGAAAUCCCCAGGCUCAACCUGGGAACUGCGUCUGAUACUGGAUGGCUCGAGAUUGGGAGAGGGAUGCGGAAUUCCAGGUGUAGCGGUGAAAUGCGUAGAUAUCUGGAGGAACACCGGUGGCGAAGGCGGCAUCCUGGACCAACACUGACGCUGAGGAGCGAAAGCCAGGGGAGCAAACGGG